Molecule: ribosomal RNA, 384 nt
Filed under: uncultured bacterium
Lineage: Bacteria
Description: bacterial SSU rRNA
Rfam family: Bacterial small subunit ribosomal RNA
Source: RNAcentral
AACGAACGCUGGCGGCGUGCCUAACACAUGCAAGUCGGACGAGAAAGUUUCCUUCGGGAAGCGAGUAAAGUGGCGCACGGGUGAGUAACACGUAGACAACCUGCCUUCCAGUCCGGGACAACCUUUCGAAAGAAGGGCUAAUACCGGAUAACACUUUGGGCCGCAUGGCCUGGGUUGAAAGAUUUAUCGCUGGAAGAGGGGUCUGCGGGACAUUAGCUAGUUGGCGGGGUGACGGCCCACCAAGGCGACGAUGUCUAGCGGGUCUGAGAGGAUGAUCCGCCACACUGGAACUGAGACACGGUCCAGACUCCUACGGGAGGCAGCAGUGGGGAAUUUUGCGCAAUGGCGAAGCCUGACGCAGCAACGCCGCGUGAGUGAAGAAGG